UAGGGAAUCUUCCGCAAUGGGCGAAAGCCUGACGGAGCAACGCCGCGUGAGUGAUGAAGGUCUUCGGAUCGUAAAACUCUGUUAUUAGGGAAGAACAAAUGUGUAAGUAACUAUGCACGUCUUGACGGUACCUAAUCAGAAAGCCACGGCUAACUACGUGCCAGCAGCCGCGGUAAUACGUAGGUGGCAAGCGUUAUCCGGAAUUAUUGGGCGUAAAGCGCGCGUAGGCGGUUUUUUAAGUCUGAUGUGAAAGCCCACGGCUCAACCGUGGAGGGUCAUUGGAAACUGGAAAACUUGAGUGCAGAAGAGGAAAGUGGAAUUCCAUGUGUAGCGGUGAAAUGCGCAGAGAUUGGGAGGAACACCAGUGGCGAGAACGUCUUUCUGGUCUGUAACUGACGCUGAUGUGCGAAAGCGUGGGGAUCAAACAGG
This 429-nucleotide ribosomal RNA is filed under the name Actinomycetes bacterium. RNAcentral describes it as "Actinobacteria bacterium partial 16S ribosomal RNA". It matches the Rfam family "Bacterial small subunit ribosomal RNA", at positions 355 to 776 of the family's 1533-position model. Lineage: Bacteria; Bacillati; Actinomycetota; Actinomycetes. The record is from RNAcentral.